GCACUGGAUUUAAACCCCAAAUAUAAAGUUUAAACUUUUUUUAGAAAUUUCAACUUGAAAAAAU
Molecule: transfer RNA, 64 nt
Filed under: Diabrotica barberi (northern corn rootworm)
Lineage: Eukaryota; Metazoa; Arthropoda; Insecta; Coleoptera; Chrysomelidae
Also listed under: 3 other names
Description: tRNA-Leu
Source: RNAcentral